UCUUCUGCAUCACUCACGCUGGAGCUGUAGACCAGAGCUGUUCCUAUUCGGCCAUCUUGGCUCCUCCAGAUUUUCUCACUUAUUCUUGAAAGAAUUUUUCCAGAUUAUUAUUGUUAACCCAGGAGGCUGUCAAAUUAGAAAUGAAUCUGUGCCUCAAAAGUUAAAGAAACCAGUAACUAAUAGAAAUAAUUGAGUUUGCAAGAUGGCAGCUAAGAAAGAAAUAAUUUGUUGUUAACACUGAAACUCUCUCUGCUUAUGAGAUAAAGUAACUAACAUCAGUUGGAAUCAAUAUGGCCAGUGCAUGUCUGUGCAGAACCAGCUUGCUGACAUCACCACCUGAAUUUAUAUGAAAUGAUUCAUACUAACUCCCCUUGAAUUUGCACAUGUGAUCCAUGAGGUAUCAUGAAGAGACAACUGCACAUCCCCAGAGACUUUCCAGACCUCCACUUUUCUUCCACCAAUCACCUAAUCUCAAAAUCCACCCCCUGAAACUUUUCUAAUAAAGAUACUGCUUUGAAGCCAGCACAGAGAGACAGAUUUGAGCUUCACACUCCUGUCACCUUGUGAGUUAACUUCCAAUAAGACGUCUUUCUUCUCUCAAAACCUGGUAUCAUAGUAUCGGCUUCUAGUGCAUUGGGCAGCAAGCUCCCUUUAGCUUGAUAACAGAGUCUCAGAGUAGAAUGUCUUUAAAAUCGUCUCUACCCUGCCUCCUGCAUCAGCCAGCUAGUCCAUGCUUACACAUGCCCUGUGCUUUCUCAGCUUUGCUGUCCCACUGCCUGGCCUACAGCAGGCCAUGCCCUGGAAGACUCAAUUCUGAGUGCAGCCAGCCCUAUGAGAGGAGCCACCACACUGGGCACAGCAGUAUUGGAUCAGCUCUGUGAUUGGGGUGAGAUUUGAAGAGAGGUCUCCUCCACCUUCUGCCAGACUGCUGCCUGUCAGGACUAUUCUCUCUCCGACCCUAGCAAAGACUAUUUGGAAGAGCCAACACUUGUGAAGUGGAACAUAUUGCUGGAUCUUGAAUCAUUCCAAGCUUUCCUUAGGGGACACUGCAAGGGAUAUAUUGGAAGACCUGUCCUGGACCCUGCUCCUUCACUUACAAGCCAGCCUGAACUAACCUCUUUGAGGUUAGUCACUGGUAAGAUAGGGAUGAUGAAGAUGAUGAUGAUGUGCCAUCUCUCCUGCCUAUUCUAUAGAAUGGCCUUAUAUCCAAUCUGUAACCUGCAAAACCUUUGUACACAUACAAAGGUUAUUAAUAAAAUAAACAGCAUGUAGCCUUCUACUGGUAGUAUAACUUUGGGCAACUUAUUGAAACUUUUCUGGGCUUCAGUUUCCUUAUAUGUAAAAUUGGGAUAGUAAUAAUGUAUUCCUCUGGUCUAUGUGUUCAGGGUUUUGAAAUGGUGUUCUAACAUCACCUACUAUUCACUGGCUAGCAGUACCACUACUUGCCUACAGUAGAAUAGAAAGAAUUGGAGCUCAUUCCUGUGUGUAUAUAUACGUGGUAUGAUAUGAAUAUGUCUGUCAAAGAAAGGCUAAAGCACUGGUCCAGAUUAAAGGAAACUAAAAAGACAUGACAUCUCACUGAAAUAUUAAUAUAUAAUUCUAAAUUGGAUUCUGGAUAGGGGAGAAAAUGCUGUGAAGGACAGUUUGAGGACAAUUGGUGAAAUUCAGAUUUGGACUGUAUAUGAGAUCUUAUAAGUAUUAAAAGAAAUAAAGCAGAAAUAUUUAUAACAGUACCUGGGGUGUAGAAAGCACAAUAAUUAGUCAUUACCUAUAGGAUGUAAGCCAUGUUUUGUUCAGUACCAUAUCCCCAGAACCUAGAGCACAUAAUAUGUGCUUAAUUUUUUUGAGUGAAUGAAGAAACUGGGCUCCUACAACAAGACAGAGCUAAGAACUAGGGUGAGGUGCCCAGGGCCAACUGUCCUUACAUGCAGGGACUGAUUGUCAUUGUUGGUUCCUAGUCAUUGUUGGUUACCUUAGUGACCCUUGGCAUGCAAAACAUUCUAAGAUUGAUCCAAUUAUUCCAGGUACCUGGUUAACACAACCAAAAUUCCUGGCAGCUCUACACAUCAAAUGCAUUUGUAGAGAAGAGCAUAUAGAGGGAAUUGUGAGUAAGCCAGAUUAAUGCACCAGAAAAAGUAGAAACUGCACCAGAAAAAGUAGAAACUGCACCAGAAAAAGUAGAAACUGUACCAAGAACAGGAAGGACGGAUUGGCACCAGUGAAUUCAAACAAUAACCAGGUCUCAAGCAGUAGCCACCUCCAGUCUGAUACAAAGGAUUACUCCCUCCCCAGUGCCAGCUGGAGCCCCAUCAUGGUGAGGCUCUACAAUGAGUUCAUGGAGAAGACUGUGGAUGGGUCAUGGACAAGACUUCCAGGUUGUUGGUGCUCUGUGCAAUUCCUUAAAGAAGCAGACCUUACUAAGAUUGCUAAAGCUGUCCCUGCCAUCUUCUUACAAAUGAAGUGACGCAGAUGCAAGGUGCUGCAAGGCCCACCUCCUCCUGCUCUGACAGGCAGACAGGAAACCAAAG
This 2528-nucleotide long non-coding RNA is filed under the name Homo sapiens (human). RNAcentral's name for it is "HSALNT0311310". The record is from RNAcentral. Lineage: Eukaryota; Metazoa; Chordata; Mammalia; Primates; Hominidae.